UACGUAGGGUGCGAGCGUUAAUCGGAAUUACUGGGCGUAAAGCGUGCGCAGGCGGUUUUGUAAGCCAGAUGUGAAAUCCCCGGGCUUAACCUGGGAAUGGCAUUGUGACUGCACGGCUAGAGUGUGUCAGAGGGGGGUAGAAUUCCACGUGUAGCAGUGAAAUGCGUAGAGAUGUGGAGGAAUACCGAUGGCGAAGGCAGCCCCCUGGGAUAACACUGACGCUCAUGCACGAAAGCGUGGGGAGCAAACAGG
This 252-nucleotide ribosomal RNA is filed under the name uncultured bacterium. Its description in RNAcentral is "partial 16S ribosomal RNA". It matches the Rfam family "Bacterial small subunit ribosomal RNA", at positions 524 to 776 of the family's 1533-position model. The record is from RNAcentral.